RNAcentral lists this long non-coding RNA (6156 nucleotides) under Triticum aestivum (bread wheat). RNAcentral describes it as "long non-coding RNA (TAES_LNC006906)". The record is from RNAcentral. Lineage: Eukaryota; Viridiplantae; Streptophyta; Magnoliopsida; Poales; Poaceae.
UACGAGACACCACGUUAAACAGUGAAAUUAAAGAAAAUUGACCGUCCGUUUAAUAUAUAAUGUGUGUAUAGCCGUUGGAUGAAACAUGAGGAGGCCAGACGUGGUCUCCUAUCCCACGAGUCUCUCCACUUGGAGUCUCCCAUCCCACGUACAUGUAAAUGAGUCUUCCUCCACUUGGACUCUUUCCCGUUUCCCUUAAAUCAGGAAAAAAAUGUGAUUAGUUAUACACGGGACAUCCUCCACUUGGUACCUAUCCAUGUCGUCUCUCUCACGUUAAUCCUGGGCAAAAAAACUAUAAAAUAAAAAUGUUGGCCUUUUAUUUUUAUUCUCAAUCGCCACGUAUCGUACUUUAAUUGUCCAAAAAGAAAAAUACACAUAGUCUCCAUUGAAAUGUGGUUUCAUUGGCAAUACAAACACAUGCAUGGUUGUAUAUAUUAGGUGUUUUCCGUUCUCCAGGCUAUCUCCUCGGCGCAAGGCCAUCCCAUAGAUCUUAAUUCUUCUAGCACGCAUCUCCGGCUUCAUGCUGUCGACAACAACUUCUACAACAUCUCUCAUCGUCCGCAACGGAUAGCACCUUCCCUCGCUCCCAUCACAAACGGGUCGCCGUCCUGUCCGAUCGGGUCUAAUCACAAAGGUUUGGACAAAUAGCUCUCCUGUACAGGUAACAAACACAUAAGCAUCCUCAUAGGUAUUCCUAACUAUCUCUUUGAUGUUGCAGCUCAAUGACGAAGUCUUCCAUGGCAUACAAAACCUUUUGUCAGAUCAAUACUAGCAGUAGAGGAAAGGAAUUAACAAUCAAGGCAAGAUUAACAAGAUUGGGAUUUCAUAUUGAUCGGUAAUGGUGAAAUACUUAGUCUACGCAUGGUCCUUAUUGAUGAAGAGGUAUUAUGGUUCCCUCAUAGAAAUUACAUCCUUUCUUGAUUUUUUUUAUAAUUUAGCUUCAAUCUACAUGCUAAUCUACAUGCAAAUUACAAAUACAAUUGAAGGGGACAAUGUUGCAUGGAGUUAUCAAUAAGGCACGUAUCAAAAAGUUAAGGUCAUUAAUUCAAGAAGGCAAUGUGUACCUCAUUAAAAAUGUGAGUCAUUCCAGCAGCAGCAAAAUCCUAUAUGAGAUGAUGAUUAACUUCUCACCCACAAGAAAUAUAGAGGAGACUGAACGAAGAUAAUGAAGACAUUCCAAAGCAUGGUUUCAACUUCUCAAGCGUGGAGGUACUCUCCCAAAGAGUAAGCAUUGACACUUAUCUCUUAGGUAUGAUAUCAAUGAACUUUUAAGAUACAAUAUGCCAUACUUCUUCAUGACAUGUAUAAAAUGCCAUCUGCAACACACAUAGGACCAAGUGAAGAAACUAAAACAUAUCUUGGGCCCUCCAGAAUCCAUGAUAUUUUCCUUCUAAUCGAGUAAGCCAAAAAAUACAUCUUAUUUGCAGCGAAGUUUCUCAAGUCAUGUCUUCAUGUUUUACUUUUUGUUGACAGAGACAGCUGAUCUAAUUGAUGUCAAGUCAAUAGGGAAUGUCAUUACAAGUACAUCGACAACAGUGAGGAAAUUUGGCAGUAUGUCUUCUUUCAAAUUUUAAUUACUUAUUUUAUUAUCUCUCUGUUUGGUUUUACAUAGGAAAAUGAUUAUUUGAACCACUAUGCAGGAUAUUCUCUAUCGUCAAAUAGUGCAACUCAAGUUUUUAUAAAUUUAGAUAUUCCUGAGAGUAUGGAUGUACAAAAUAGGUAAGCAAAAUUCCUACAAAUAUUGCCCAUUUAACGUCAAUGUCAGUACUACUUACCCUGGCUCAUAACUUUUUGUCUCCAAAUAACAUUUGUUCCAAAAAUAUAUCAAAGAACUACAUGUUUGAGGAGAACCAUCUAAAAGGGACACUGGAAGAGCAAAUGCGCUACAAUAGAAAAAUUUAGAAGAGUUAAAUGGCAUUCUGUUAGACUCAUCAAAUCAGGUUUGUAAUCCAGCGAUAAUAAUGAAUUGUUUUUUCCCACACAGAAGCAUAAAUAUAUUUAUAUUACUCUACAGGGAAGUAUAUUUACCAUGGAAGCAGUAAUUAAUGAUGUUAAUGCAAGAUAUGGUUGGUACUACAUAUCAUGCAGCGGAAAUAAUUGCAAGAAGCGACUUGAAAAGAGAAUUGAUUACUACUAUUGUACCAAAUGCGAUAGGAAAGCUCAACCCAAACCACGGUAAAAAAUUUAACAUAUCUCUAUCUUAAUAGUUUUAAUAGAAUAAUUUUUAAAUUAAUUCACUACAUAUUUUGCAGAUAUAAGAUUAAGCUUGAACUUAGUGACUCGAGAGUCUGCAUCUUGCGUUCUUUUUGAAAAAGAGGCCCAACAAUUAAAUCAUGAGUUAGCAGAAAACAUGGUUGCAUCAACAAUAGCUGGUCGAUGAGGUAAAUUCUUAUAUCAUGGGUAGAAUAGAAGGUGAAGAGGUAACCUAUCGAAGCUCAGAUAUAGUGUGCAAAGGAAUGUCAAAUUCAUAAGAUGGAGAUCAUUUGUACCCAACAGAAUUCCAGAAUAGCUUUAAGUGCCCUGGAAUACCAGACCACGAAAUACGGCUGAAAGUUGGACUGCCAGUUAUGCUGCUACGGAAUAUCAACCAAAGAGAAGGCUUAUACAAUGGUACGAGACUAACUAUAACACACCUAGGCAAAUGGUUCAUAGAAGCUCAAAUGAUGACAGGAACAAACAUUGGAAACAAGGUAUAUAUUCCAAGGUUUAUUAUGUCACCAAGUGACUCAAAAUGGCCAUUUGUGUCGAAAAGGAGGCAAUACCCAAUAUCAGUUUGUUUUGCAAUGACAAUAAAUAAGAGUCAAGGGUAGUCGCUAAAACAUGCGGGGCUAUAUUUACCAAAGCACGUCUUCACACAUGGUCAACUCUAUGUAGCAGUAUCAAGAGUCACAAGUAGAGAUGGACCUAAAGUUCUAAUUUCAGAUGAAGAAUCAAGGAAAAUAAUUCGGCAAAAAAUAUUGUGUACAAGGAGAUCCUUUAGUAAAGGGACCUUAGAAUAUUUCUAUUUUACUCUAUGUAACCUUCUUCAAAAGGAAAUCAUAUGGAUUUCAGACGAAUCAGGUAUUUCUGCGGACACACAUGACUAUGUUUGCCAAUUUGAUCUAGCACUAAAAAAAUCUGUGGUCUAUGCAUUGCAUAAUUAGUAUUAAAAAACUAGAUGAAUCAUGAAUCUGUACCUUCAGUUUACUAAGUAUUCACAGUUUGGAUCUCACGACUCAUGCCCUAAUCUGUCUCAUAGCUCUGACAUGAGCAUAAUAUAAUUGAAUGUGCAUCUGUCAAUACCAAAUAAAAGAUCCAUCAACAUCUCUUCCUUGGGCAUGAUUGAGCACGAAAUGGCAAGAUUGUCGUUUUCCUAUGUAAAUAUACUUGGAUGAUUUCAUUAAUGAUGAUUCAGGUCGUAUAGCCGACCAAGCAAGGGCUAGAUUUGAUUAUUAUUUUCGUAAUAUCCCAAGAUCAAUUCUGUCAAUAGCUGUGUGCUGUCAUUAAGCAUGGAGCGGUUGGUUCUUGAUUCCCACAUUAUAUGCCUAAAUGGUAACGAAUGUGGUCUGCUCUACAGGUAUUAUAGCGACCACAUAUUACAGGUUACAUCCUACAAAUUCAAACAAUUUAGCUCAGGCAAAAACAAACAAAAUAAGCUAACACAGGUGUACCGAUUCAGAUCAAAUAGUCUCCUUGAUGACUCCUCUACCACCCAUCUGUACACCACACAUACAUCAACUCAUUGCAGAUCUGCACAGAUCCAAAAGGGAAAUAAGGCAUCCCUCGAAGCAAGUUUCCAAUUCUUAAGAUACUACAUGCACAAAAUUAAAUGAUUUAACCACACCUGAUGUAUCCCAUAGUGGUUGCUUUGUAAGAUUUGUCGCUGAGAAAUUGAAGGACUGGGAACAAAAUGUAUGACCAGUGGUUGGAUCGAGGGUUUCAUUUUGGGGGAACGGCGAGUGGGGAGAGGGAGGGCAGUCGGCGCCGCGGGUGGGAUUGGAACUAGCGGUGACUCGGCGUCGCACCCCGGCGGAUUUCUGGAUCAAUCUUUGCCAUGGCUGAAGAUGUCCAUUUUUGGGAGAUGAGGGAAGAAACGGCAGGUUUAUUUACUGGACACAUGCGUCGCACUAUAUCAAGCUACACUACGCUACUAUAUAUUUCUUUACCUUUCUGCUACACCUCACACGUCGCAAUAGUAUGGAUAUCACAAGUAUUUGCAUAUUCACGUUGCACACACAUACCAGAUGUAGAGUGAACGACUAAGAAGAAAAACAUGAAAAGAAAUAAUUGUUUGAUUAAACAUAAAAAAAUGCACUCACACUAAAAAUAUAUUUUCAACAUUGGAGUUACAGAGCUCUAAUUUUGUCGAUUUCAUUAAUUGUAAAUAGCCGUGAUGUUAAAUAUGCAAGAAAAAUAAACAACACUUUUUACAUGCUUAUUUAACUAUAAAUAAUAAUAGCUUUUCCUUAUGCCUAUAUCUUUUAUGUUGGCCUUGGCCUAUAAAAACGAGGGAAAAAAACUUCCAAAGAACCAUCAAAUAGAAAUACAAUAAAUAAUUUUUUUCAAGUAUCAUGCGCGAAUCAGUUAAAUCUGAUAUAGAAAAAAGUCAUAUACAUGUUUCCGUUACAAAUAUAAUUAAAUUUCACACAUUAAAUCUUUAAUAAAAAUACAAUGUUAAUUUUAGAAGACAAUAUCAACAAAUUCCUCGAGUAAGAAAGAACAAAAGGUCUAAAGAAUUCAUCUCAGAUAAGUUAUCUAUAGGAACUAUACAAUAAUAUUGUUUGAAUGGCCUAUUUAUUACCAAACGACAAAAUUGAAUACUCGCCUAUAUAUGUUCCUGAUCGUAACUGAUUUUAAUAAAGUUCAGAUUUCAAGGUAUCCCCUUUCCAGAAAUUCGCAAAAUCAUAUAAGAUAUUAUUAAUACAUCAUGCACGGACCAACCUCAAUUAAAAUAUACUUAGAAGUACGUAAUAUAAGCAUUGUGGUCGAUCGAUGAUAGAUAUAUUGCAUCACUAUUGUGAGUGGCAUCAUGUGCAUUCUGCCUUUUCUUACAAAUUACUCAUAAUAUGAAUAACAUCCAUUGUUUUUUCGAAAAGCAUAAUGCACAUCCAAAUCAAUCGGCUCGCCAAAUAGUCCAAGGGAUAUACCUCCUUUUGUCUCUACGUCUAACAAAUAGAUAUUUUUAUAUGUAACCAUUUUUAGCAAUAUAUGUUCAUUUUAUUUUGGUAUGACGUUCCUAAUUUGUAGAAAUUAUAUAUACCAAUAAUAUUGAAAGUUCUAGCCCGUGCAGUCGCACGGGUUGACGACUAGUAUGACCUAACUCAUAAUUCAGAAAUAUAUGACCCCGUCGGGAGGCCGAAGAGCACCUUUUCGAGAGGUGUCGUGGGUCGGGGUGUCAGUGGUGUCGUGUCGGGGUCAGGGUGCUGUGUCGGGGUAAUUGGAGGCACCAUACGAGACACCACGUUAAACCGUGAAAUUAAAGAAAAUUGACCGUCCGUUUAAUAUAUAAUGUGUGUAUAGCCGUUGGAUGAAACAUAAGGAGGCCAGACGUGGUCUCCUAUCCCACGAGUCUCUCCACUUGGAGUCUCCCAUCCCACGUACAUGUAAAUGAGUCUUCCUCCACUUGGACUCUUUCCCGUUUCCCUUAAAUCAGGAAAAAAAUGUGAUUAGUUAUACACGGGACAUCCUUCACUUGUUACCUAUCCAUUUUGUCUCUCUCACGUUAAUCCUGGGCAAAAAAACUAUAAAAUAAAAAUGUUGGCCUUUUAUUUUUAUUCUCAAUCGCCACGUAUCGUACUUUAAUUGUCCAAAAAGAAAAAUACACAUAGUCUCCAUUGAAAUGUGGUGUCGUUGGCAAUACAAACACAUGCAUGGUUGUAUAUAUAUAUAUAUAUAUAUAUAUAUAUAUAUAUAUAUAUAUAUAUAUAUAUAUUUCAACAUACACAUUACGUACACAUCAGGUGUUUUCCAUUCUCCAGGCUAUCUCCUCGGCGCGAGGCCAUCCCAUAGAUCUUAAUUCUUCUAGCACGCGUCUCCAGCUUCAUGCUGUCGACAACAACUUCUACAACAUCUCUCAUCGUCCGCAAGGGAUAGCACCUUCCCUCGCUCCCAUCACAAACGGGCCGCCGUCCUGUCCGAUCGGGUCAAAUCACAAAGGUUUGGACAAAUAUCUCUCCU